Molecule: non-coding RNA, 2074 nt
Organism: Oryza sativa Japonica Group (Japanese rice)
Lineage: Eukaryota; Viridiplantae; Streptophyta; Magnoliopsida; Poales; Poaceae
Source: RefSeq, a predicted model, not a curated record
UCUCUCCUCUCAGCCUCUCACUCUUUCCUCCUCUCCUCUCUCUCUCUCCGACAGCGAGGCACGGAGCGGGAGCGGCGGCUGCUGCGCGGCGCGGCGCGUGGCAGCGGCGGGCUCGGCACCGGCGGCGGCGGCCUUCCUCGACCUCCCAUCCGGCGCGACAGCGGCAGGCUCGGCAACGGCGGUGGCCUCCCUUCACCAACCUCCCAUGCGCGGUGCUCCCUUCCUCGACGUACGGCAGCGGGCACGGCGACGACGACGGCGGGCACGGUGACGACGACGACGGAUCUGGACGGCGGGCAUGCAGCGGUCACGGCGACGGCGGCGGCGGCGGCGGAUGUGGACGGCAGCGGCGCCCUUUGCUCUCCUCUCCACCGAGCGUCGCCGCCAACCCUAGAUCCGCCUGCAGCUCCUCCGCUCCUCCACCCACCACCGCCGUAUCUUCCCUCAUCUGGCCAUCCACUCCGGUGAUGUCGAGCGCGUGGUGUCGCAAGAACGUUGCCUCGUUUGGUGAGAGGGGAUAGUGCAGCGAGCCGCCUCCAAUCCCUUCUGUCCCACUGCUACUCGCUGUCGCAGAGAGGAGAUUUGUCCGACCGGGUUUCAUGUUAAGCUGUGGCUUUAUUUCCCACCAUCCUCAGUCCCAUCCUAUUUCUCUUUCUUGUUCGAGCAAUCGAAUCUGAUUUAAGGAUCUGAUUUUCUCUUGCUAAUUUUCAGGAGUCAACCGUCUAUUUGCUGUCCCGUGCACCAACACGAACAUUGACCCGAUUUCAUUCUGACACAGUAGUAGUAAGUAUCACGAAUUGUGCAUUUUAUUCUAAAAUGUACUAGAUUUAUAUAGCGUUUGUCACACAUUGACUAGAAUGGAUCUGUUUAGUUAAUUUGUCUGCUGUGCUGCUGAUUUUAAAAGUUUAGUGUAUAGAGUUAAUAAAAACGUGUGUGAGCUGAUAGUUUGCAGGAGUGAUAAAAUUCCCAUGUGAGCAACUUUGUUGUUUUUAUAUCAGUGCAGUGUUUAGUAGGAGGAAAUGAAUUAAAGGACAAUUCAGGGGUUGGGUUGGUUGGGUCAGUGAAGAAAUCAGCAAAACUGCAGUCCACAAGAUACAAUGAAUUAUGCUUACAAGGUGUUUGUGUUAAUGACUGCAAGUUGACACUUCACAGCAUGUCCUUUGCAUUUUAACUACAAAAGGUCGUGUUCUAUGCAUGCUAACUCGUGCUCAUCACUAGUUGAUAGAUUUGUGCAGUUAUUUUUCCCUGAUUAUUAUGUUAUCUCACUAUAUGAUGCAAAAAUUUAAAGCUCAUGUUAUCUCAUGAUGUGAUAUGCUCUUUAUACAAUCUCUUAGUAGUUCUCCAAAGUGCCUCACCAAUUUGUGACUGACAUUUUUUCCCAAUAAAAUGCUAUGCUGACUAUCGCAUUAUAUAUCUCAUUUUUGAAACACAAUAGUAUGAGUACUUGCUUUUGAUUUUGUAUCGUAGUCAUUCACUCAAUAUGUAUGCUGCCUUGUUGUAAAAACAGGGUAGUAUGAAUUAAAUACUGAAGCCUAGAAAUUCACUCCCAUAGUACAACUGUAAAUUUGUAACUGAUUGAAUUGCAGUAAUUGCUUUGGUACUAAUAGGUAGUGUAAAUUGGUAUUGGUAACUGACUGAAACAAUACUCACUUCUCAUAUCCUGUCCAUGACAUCUACUGUUCAUGCUGGCUGUUUAUCUUUUCAUGUGCAGAUUCUAGUAUUCCACUCGGGUGUUUCCUGCAAUAAGCUGAUAUCUAACAAUUGCAAGGAUCUACACUCAAGUAUUAACUCAAGGCGACAAACAGCAGCCACCCAUCAUCUUGACUGAUUCGAUAUUGAAUUAUUGAUCUAUGGAAGAAUUUGUUGCUUUGGUCUGCUGAUAGAUAUAUUAAGAUGAAAUAUAUGUAGCUGCUUCAUCUGUUGAGAUGUCACAUGACUGUCUGAAUUUGUAGAUUAGGCAAGCUAGCUUGUCUUAAAGCUUUGAUAUUUCUUUAAUUAACAUGUGUAUGUUGAAACCUAAAUUUAUUUGGUGAAUUAUGUAGUUUCACCUUAUAUGGAUGUGAGCUGUGGUGUA